Long non-coding RNA from Papilio polytes (common Mormon), 336 nucleotides. RefSeq lists it as uncharacterized. NCBI's taxonomy places the organism in Eukaryota, Metazoa, Arthropoda, Insecta, Lepidoptera, Papilionidae. The record is from RefSeq and is a predicted model, not a curated record. The transcript has 3 exons.
CCGCUUUUCUGAAGUAAAUCAUAGUUUGAGAUAGCUAUUCUACAAACACUAUUCCACCAUGAAAUACAUCGUAAUCUUCGUUUUGUGCUUUGUGGCGCUGGCCGCUGCCAACCCACAGCUUCUCACGUGGCCCGGCAUCGUGGCUCCUCUGGGCUCUAGAACCAUUGUUGCCGGUCCUACUGUGGUCAAUGAUGGACUUUGGGGUGGCCGCGUCCUUUCUCCCGGAGUUAUUGCUGCAGGAUUGGUGUAAACAGACGACAAGCAGCCCGACAGAAGAACAAUGAGCAAUCGAUUCCUACAUAUUAUGAAAUAAAAUAAAGACCUUUGAGUAAAAAA